UUAGAGUUUGAUCCUGGCUCAGGAUGAACGCUAGCGGUCGGCCUAACACAUGCAAGUCGAGCGGCAGCAUUGUGUAGCAAUACACAGAUGGCGAGCGGCGAACGGGUGCGUAACGCGUAGGUAACUUGCCCUUAACCGGGGAAUAGCCCGACGAAAGUUGGAUUAAUACCCCAGACAUCUAGAUAAGGCAUCUUAAUUAGAUUAAAGUUUCGGCGGUUAAGGAUAGGCCUGCGUCCCAUUAGCUAGUUGGUGAGGUAAUGGCUCACCAAGGCAACGAUGGGUAGGGGGUUUGAAAGGAUGAUCCUCCACACUGGCACUGAGACACGGGCCAGACUCCUACGGGAGGCAGCAGUGAGGAAUAUUGCGCAAUGGGCGAAAGCCUGACGCAGCCAGACCGCGUGUAGGAAGACAGUCGUAAGAUUGUAAACUACUUUUAUCUGAGAGGAAACCUACGGACGUGUCCGUAGCUGACAGUACCAGAUGAAUAAGCACCGGCUAACUCCGUGCCAGCAGCCGCGGUAAUACGGAGGGUGCAGGCGUUAUCCGGAUUUACUAGGUUUAAAGGGUCUGUAGGCGGUAUAAUAAGUCAGUGGUGAAAGCCCUGAGCUCAACUGAGGAAUUGCCAUUGAUACUGUUAUUCUUGAGUACGGUUGAGGUAGGCGGAAUGUGUAGUGUAGCGGUGAAAUGCUUAGAUAUUACACAGAACACCGAUUGCGUAGGCAGCUUACCAAGCCGUAACUGACGCUGAGGCACGAAAGCGUGGGGAUCGAACAGGAUUAGAUACCCUGGUAGUCCACGCCGUAAACGAUGAUUACUCGUUGUGCGCGAUAUACAGUGCGUGACUGAGCGAAAGCAUUAAGUAAUCCACCUGGGGAGUACGUUCGCAAGAAUGAAACUCAAAGGAAUUGACGGGGGCCCGCACAAGCGGAGGAACAUGUGGUUUAAUUCGAUGAUACGCGAGGAACCUUGCCCGGGCUUAAAUGCAGAGCGAUCGGUGUCGAAAGAUGCUUUCCCUUCGGGGCGAAUUGCAAGGUGCUGCAUGGCUGUCGUCAGCUCGUGCCGUGAGGUGUCGGGUUAAGUCCCAUAACGAGCGCAACCCCUAUUGUUAGUUGCCAGCGGGUGAUGCCGGGAACUCUAACGAGACUGCCACCGUAAGGUGUGAGGAAGGUGGGGAUGACGUCAAGUCAGCACGGCCCUUAUGUCCGGGACUACACACGUGUUACAAUGGCAGGUACAAAGAGCAGCCACUCGGUGACGAGGCGCUAAUCUCGAAAAACCUGUCUUAGUUCGGAUCGAAGUCUGCAACUCGACUUCGUGAAGUUGGAUUCGCUAGUAAUCGUAUAUCAGCAAUGAUACGGUGAAUACGUUCCCGGGCCUUGUACACACCGCCCGUCAAGCCAUGGAAGCUGAGGGUACCUGAAGUCUGUAACCGCAAGGAACGGCCUAGGGUAAAAUCGGUAACUGGGGCUAAGUCGUAACAAGGUAGCC
Molecule: ribosomal RNA, 1488 nt
Filed under: uncultured Prolixibacter sp.
Lineage: Bacteria; Pseudomonadati; Bacteroidota; Bacteroidia; Marinilabiliales; Prolixibacteraceae
Description: 16S ribosomal RNA
Rfam family: Bacterial small subunit ribosomal RNA
Source: RNAcentral